CAUGCUCAUGGUAAUUAAGAAAAUGAUGAACUGACUGUUCCUAGAGCAAGUGGCAAAGGGCUAGUAAAAAAAUAUUUUAUAUUUAUAUACCAUGCUCAUGGUAAUUAAGAAAAUGAUGAACUGACCGUCCCUAGAGCAAGUGGCAAAGGGCUUGGUUGUUGGUACCUGAGGCCCAAGUUCGAAUUCUAGUUGAUUCAUAUUUUUUGCUAAGUUUAUUUCUAAAUAAAAUAAACGAAGCGGGUAGCGUGUUAUCUAUCUCUCAAAAAAAAAAGAAAAAGCGAAAGAAAAUGAUGAUAUAUAUAGAGUUAAGAGGUUUUAAUUGUUUUAU
Molecule: long non-coding RNA, 328 nt
Filed under: Ananas comosus (pineapple)
Lineage: Eukaryota; Viridiplantae; Streptophyta; Magnoliopsida; Poales; Bromeliaceae
Description: long non-coding RNA (ACOM_LNC024835)
Source: RNAcentral